AUUGAACGCUGGCGGAAUGCUUUACACAUGCAAGUCGAACGGCAGCACGGGGCAACCUGGUGGCGAGUGGCGAACGGGUGAGUAAUACAUCGGAACGUGCCCAAUCGUGGGGGAUAACGUAGCGAAAGUUACGCUAAUACCGCAUACGAUCUACGGAUGAAAGCGGGGGAUCGCAAGACCUCGCGCGAGUGGAGCGGCCGAUGUCAGAUUAGGUAGUUGGUGGGGUAAAGGCUCACCAAGCCAACGAUCUGUAGCUGGUCUGAGAGGACGACCAGCCACACUGGAACUGAGACACGGUCCAGACUCCUACGGGAGGCAGCAGUGGGGAAUUUUGGACAAUGGGCGCAAGCCUGAUCCAGCCAUUCCGCGUGCAGGAUGAAGGCCUUCGGGUUGUAAACUGCUUUUGUACGGAGCGAAACGGCGAGCUCUAAUACAGUUUGCUAAUGACGGUACCGUAAGAAUAAGCACCGGCUAACUACGUG
RNAcentral lists this ribosomal RNA (482 nucleotides) under uncultured bacterium. RNAcentral describes it as "bacterial SSU rRNA". It matches the Rfam family "Bacterial small subunit ribosomal RNA", at positions 30 to 507 of the family's 1533-position model. The record is from RNAcentral.